RNAcentral lists this ribosomal RNA (567 nucleotides) under uncultured archaeon. RNAcentral's name for it is "bacterial SSU rRNA". It matches the Rfam family "Archaeal small subunit ribosomal RNA", at positions 312 to 879 of the family's 1478-position model. The record is from RNAcentral.
CGCGAUUCGCCCUUCGGGGUGCGGCGGCGCGAAUUCUUUACAAUGCGGGAAACCGUGAUAAGGGGACACCGAGUGCCAGCAUCAUAUGCUGGCUGUCCAGGUGUGUAAAAUACACCUGUUAGCAAGGGCCGGGCAAGACCGGUGCCAGACCGCCGCGGUAACACCGGCGGCCCGAGUGGUGAUCGUGAUUAUUGGGUCUAAAGGGUCCGUAGCCGGUUUGGUCAGUCCUCCGGGAAAUCUGACGGCUCAACCGUUAGGCUUUCGGGGGAUACUGCCAGGCUUGGAACCGGGAGAGGUAAGAGGUACUACAGGGGUAGGAGUGAAAUCUUGUAAUCCCUGUGAGACCACCUGUGGCAAAGGCGUCUUACCAGACCGGGUUCUACGGUCAGGGACUAAAGCUGGGGGCACGAACCGGAUUAGAUACCCGGGUAGUCCCAGCCGUAAACGAUGCUCGCUAGGUGUCAGGCAUGGUUCAACCGUGUCUGGUGCCGCAAGGAAACCGUGAAACUAGCCACCUGGUAAUUACGGUCGCAAGGCUGAAACUUAUAGGAAUUGGCGGGGGACCAC